GACGAACGCUGGCGGCGUGCUUAACACAUGCAAGUCGAACGGAAAGGCCCUGCUUUUGUGGGGUGCUCGAGUGGCGAACGGGUGAGUAACGCGUGAGUAACCUGCCCUUGACUUUGGGAUAACUUCAGGAAACUGGGGCUAAUACCGGAUAGGAGCUCCUGCUGCAUGGUGGGGGUUGGAAAGUUUCGGCGGUUGGGGAUGGACUCGCGGCUUAUCAGCUUGUUGGUGGGGUAGUGGCUUACCAAGGCUUUGACGGGUAGCCGGCCUGAGAGGGUGACCGGCCACAUUGGGACUGAGAUACGGCCCAGACUCCUACGGGAGGCAGCAGUGGGGAAUUUUGCACAAUGGGCGGAAGCCUGAUGCAGCAACGCCGCGUGCGGGAUGACGGCCUUCGGGUUGUAAACCGCUUUCGCCUGUGACGAAGCGUGAGUGACGGUAAUGGGUAAAGAAGCACCGGCUAACUACGUG
RNAcentral lists this ribosomal RNA (468 nucleotides) under uncultured bacterium. RNAcentral's name for it is "partial 16S ribosomal RNA". It matches the Rfam family "Bacterial small subunit ribosomal RNA", at positions 28 to 507 of the family's 1533-position model. The record is from RNAcentral.